Molecule: ribosomal RNA, 497 nt
Filed under: uncultured bacterium
Lineage: Bacteria
Description: partial 16S ribosomal RNA
Rfam family: Bacterial small subunit ribosomal RNA
Source: RNAcentral
GAUGAACGCUGGCGGCGUGCCUAAUACAUGCAAGUCGAGCGAACAGACGAGGAGCUUGCUCCUCUGACGUUAGCGGCGGACGGGUGAGUAACACGUGGAUAACCUACCUAUAAGACUGGGAUAACUUCGGGAAACCGGAGCUAAUACCGGAUAAUAUAUUGAACCGCAUGGUUCAAUAGUGAAAGACGGUUUUGCUGUCACUUAUAGAUGGAUCCGCGCCGCAUUAGCUAGUUGUUAAGGUAACGGCUUACCCAGGCAACGAUGCGUAGCCGACCUGAUGGGGUGAUCGGCCACACUGGAACUGAGACACGGUCCAGACUCCUACGGGAGGCAGCAGUAGGGAAUCUUCCGCAAUGGGCGAAAGCCUGACGGAGCAACGCCGCGUGAGUGAUGAAGGUCUUCGGAUCGUAAAACUCUGUUAUUAGGGAAGAACAAAUGUGUAAGUAACUAUGCACGUCUUGACGGUACCUAAUCAGAAAGCCACGGCUAACUACGUG